This 64-nucleotide transfer RNA is filed under the name Scaphidium quadrimaculatum. Its description in RNAcentral is "tRNA-Ala". Lineage: Eukaryota; Metazoa; Arthropoda; Insecta; Coleoptera; Staphylinidae. The record is from RNAcentral.
AGGAUUAUAGUUAAAUUAACAGUUAAGUUGCAUUUAAAAAAUAUUGAAAAAUCAAUUAAUCUUU